RNAcentral lists this ribosomal RNA (612 nucleotides) under Nanna articulata. Its description in RNAcentral is "partial 12S ribosomal RNA". The record is from RNAcentral. Lineage: Eukaryota; Metazoa; Arthropoda; Insecta; Diptera; Scathophagidae.
AAAUAUUUCAGUUUUCUUUCACAAUACUAUUAUGCUAUAAUUAAAAUUAUUUUUUCUUUAAUAAAUACUAAAACAAAUCCUUAUAUAAUUAUUUUUAAUAAAUUAAAUUAUAAAAACAUAAAAAUAAUAAAUAAAAUACAAUCAAUUUAUAUUGAUUUGCACAAAAUUCUUUUCAAUGUAAAUGAAAUACUUUACUUAAUAAGCUUUAAAUUGCAUUCUAGAUACACUUUCCAGUACAUCUACUAUGUUACGACUUAUCUUACUUUAAUAAUAAGAGUGACGGGCGAUGUGUACAUAUUUUAGAGCUAAAAUCAAAUUAUUAAUCUUUAUAAUUUUACUAUCAAAUCCACUUUCAAUAAAUAUUUCAAAUUUAAAUUCAUAUAAAUAAAUUUAUUGUAACCCAUUUUUACUUAAAUAUAAGCUACACCUUGAUCUGAUAUACUUUCUUUUAUAAAAUUAUGAAAAUUAACAUUCUUAUAAAAUAUUCUAAUAACGACGGUAUAUAAACUGAUUACAAAUUUAAGUAAGGUCCAUCGUGGAUUAUCGAUUAUAAAACAGGUUCCUCUGAACAGACUAAAAUACCGCCAAAUUUUUUAAGUUUCAAGAACAUAA